UUCGCCCUUCCCUAUGGGGUGAGCAGGCGAGAAAACUUUGCAAUGUGCGAAGCACGACAAGGUUAAUCCGAGUGGUUUCUGCUAAAGGAACCUUUUGUCAGUCCUAGAAACACUGAUGAAUAAGGGGUGGGCAAGUUCUGGUGUCAGCCGCCGCGGUAAAACCAGCACCUCAAGUGGUCAGGAUGAUUAUUGGGCCUAAAGCAUCCGUAGCCUGCUUUGUUAGUUUUCGGUUAAAUCCAUAUGCUCAACGUAUGGGCUGCCGGGAAUACUGCAAAGCUAGGGAGUGGGAGAGGUAGACGGUACUCGGUAGGAAGGGGUAAAAUCCUUUGAUCUAUUGAUGACCACCUGUGGCGAAGGCGGUCUACCAGAACACGUCCGACGGUGAGGGAUGAAAGCUGGGGGAGCAAACCGGAUUAGAUACCCGGGUAGUCCCAGCUGUAAACUAUGCAAACUCGGUGAUGCAUUGGCUUGAUGCCAAUGCAGUGCCGCAGGGAAGCCGUUAAGUUUGCCGCCUGGGGAAGUACGUACGCAAGUAUGAAACUUAAAGGAAUUGGCGGGGGAGCACCACAAGGGGUGAAGCCUGCGGUUCAAUUGGAGUCAACGCCAGAAUCUUACCCGGAGAGACAGCAGAUGAAGUCAGCUGAGACUUUACCAGACAGCUGAGAGGAGGUGCAUGGCCAGGCGAU
This 686-nucleotide ribosomal RNA is filed under the name uncultured marine group I thaumarchaeote. Its description in RNAcentral is "bacterial SSU rRNA". It matches the Rfam family "Archaeal small subunit ribosomal RNA", at positions 312 to 1005 of the family's 1478-position model. Lineage: Archaea; Thermoproteati; Nitrososphaerota. The record is from RNAcentral.